CCUUGCUGAAUUAUUCACCCUUGUCUUUUGCGUACUUCUUGUUUCCUUGGUGGGUUCGCCCACCACUAGGACAAACAUAAACCUUUUGUAAUUGCAAUCAGCGUCUGUAACAAAUUAAUAAUUACCACUUUCAACAACGGAUCUCUUGGUUCUGGCAUCGAUGAAGAACGCAGCGAAAUGCGAUAAGUAGUGUGAAUUGCAGAAUUCAGUGAAUCAUCUAAUCUUUGAACGCACAUUGCGCCCUUUGGUAUUCCAAAGGGCAUGCCUGUUCGAGCGUCAUUUGUACCCUCAAGCUUUGCUUGGUGUUGGGCGUCUUGUCUCUAGCUUUGCUGGAGACUCGCCUUAAAGUAAUUGACAACCGGCCUACUGGUUUCGGAGCGCAGCACAAGUCGCACUCUCUAUCAUCAAAGGUCUAACAUCCAUUAAGCCUUUUUUUCACUUUUUAACCCGGCGAGUGAAGCGGCAACAGCUCAAAUUUGAAAUCUGGCUCUUUUAGAGUCCGAGUUGUAAUUUGCAGAGGGCGCUUUGGCUUUGGCAGCGGUCCAAGUUCCUUGGAACAGGACGUCACAGAGGGUGAGAAUCCCGUACGUGGUCGCUGGCUAUUGCCGUGUAAAGCCCCUUCGACGAGUCGAGUUGUUUGGGAAUGCAGCUCUAAAUGGGAGGUACAUUUCUUCUAAAGCUAAAUAUUGGCCAGAGACCGAUAGCGCACAAGUAGAGUGAUCGAAAGAUGAAAAGCACUUUGGAAAGAGAGUCAAACAGCACGUGAAAUUGUUGAAAGGGAAGCGCUUGCAGCCAGACUUGCUUACAGUUGCUCAUCCGGGUUUCUACCCGGUGCACUCUUCUGUAGGCAGGCCAGCAUCAGUUUGGGCGGUAGGAUAAAGGUCUCUGUCACGUACCUCCUUUCGGGGAGGCCUUAUAGGGGAGACGACAUACUACCAGCCUGGACUGAGGUCCGCGCAUCUGCUAGGAUGCUGGCGUAAUGGCUGUAAGCGGCCCGUCUUGAAACACGGACCAAGGAGUCUAACAUCUAUGCGAGUGUUUGGGUGUCAAGCCCGAGCGCGUAAUGAAAGUGAACGGAGGUGGGAACCCGCAAGGGUGCACCAUCGACCGAUCCUGAUGUCUUCGGAAGGAUUUGAGUAAGAGCAUG
RNAcentral lists this small RNA (1147 nucleotides) under Alternaria sp. 3 MU-2012. Its description in RNAcentral is "eukaryotic LSU rRNA". The stretch from base 437 to 1147 matches the Rfam family "Eukaryotic large subunit ribosomal RNA", at positions 1 to 804 of the family's 3401-position model. Lineage: Eukaryota; Fungi; Ascomycota; Dothideomycetes; Pleosporales; Pleosporaceae. The record is from RNAcentral.